GACGAACGCUGGCGGCGUGCUUAACACAUGCAAGUCGAACGAAGAGCGAUGGAAGCUUGCUUCUAUCAAUCUUAGUGGCGAACGGGUGAGUAACGCGUAAUCAACCUGCCCUUCAGAGGGGGACAACAGUUGGAAACGACUGCUAAUACCGCAUACGAUCUAAUCUCGGCAUCGAGGAUAGAUGAAAGGUGGCCUCUACAUGUAAGCUAUCACUGAAGGAGGGGAUUGCGUCUGAUUAGCUAGUUGGAGGGGUAACGGCCCACCAAGGCGAUGAUCAGUAGCCGGUCUGAGAGGAUGAACGGCCACAUUGGGACUGAGACACGGCCCAGACUCCUACGGGAGGCAGCAGUGGGGAAUCUUCCGCAAUGGACGAAAGUCUGACGGAGCAACGCCGCGUGAGUGAUGACGGCCUUCGGGUUGUAAAGCUCUGUUAAUCGGGACGAAAGGCCUUCUUGCGAAUAUUGAGAAGGAU
RNAcentral lists this ribosomal RNA (472 nucleotides) under Veillonella parvula. Its description in RNAcentral is "bacterial SSU rRNA". It matches the Rfam family "Bacterial small subunit ribosomal RNA", at positions 28 to 473 of the family's 1533-position model. The record is from RNAcentral. Lineage: Bacteria; Bacillati; Bacillota; Negativicutes; Veillonellales; Veillonellaceae.